UCAAAUCAUUGGUUAAUUCGAGUUUCCGGCGUUGUUUUAGGUGGUUUAAUGAUUGGUACAAGUUUUGUUGAGGUGCCAGUGGCGUCAGGUGUGUUUCAGAUGCUCAACGUAGCAUUUUAGAGUCUUGAAAAAGUUGCAGAUUUUUCCCUUCAGCUGUUUCAGAUCCCUUCUUCAUUGCGAUGGGAUGCCUUUCCCUGAGAUCUCAUAGGUGUAAUUCCAUAGGGGGC
Molecule: long non-coding RNA, 227 nt
Filed under: Nicotiana benthamiana
Lineage: Eukaryota; Viridiplantae; Streptophyta; Magnoliopsida; Solanales; Solanaceae
Description: long non-coding RNA (NBEN_LNC007101)
Source: RNAcentral